This 1373-nucleotide long non-coding RNA is filed under the name Homo sapiens (human). Its description in RNAcentral is "HSALNT0068319". The record is from RNAcentral. Lineage: Eukaryota; Metazoa; Chordata; Mammalia; Primates; Hominidae.
GGGAGGAGAGGCAGCCACUAAGCAGGAGAGACCUGCAGCUUCUCAGAUGGCCUCCCUGUGGUGGCUGGGUCCUAGUGGGUCCACCUGACAUCUUGCCUUUAAUUUCCUACAGCUGCCGACAAAGCGCAAUAAAGCCGGUGACCUCAGAUACAGAGUUUAUCCUCUCACCAUCCCGGAGGCCAGAAAUGCCAGACCAAGGUGCCGGUGGGCCGUGCUCCCUCAGGAGGCCUUGGCGAGGCUCCCUCUUGGGGCCCCAGGUGUUCCUGGGCUUGUGGCUACAUUGCUCCCAUCCCUGCCUCAGUUGUCACAUUCUCCCCAGGUGCCUGUGUCUUCUAACAAGGACAUCAGCCAUUGGAUGAAGCCACCUUAAAUCCAGGAUGACUUCAUCGUAACUUACUGACAUCAGCAAAGACCCUAUUUCCAAAUACGGUCACAUUCACAGCUGCAGCUGGUUAGGACUUGAACAUGUAUUUUGGGGGGACACAAUUCCACCCACAGCAAUCCCCCUUGGUCCCCACUCAGCCCAGGUGAGAGCCAACCGGCACCUGCACAGCUGAAGCCAUGGUCCCCACCCCACCUUUGGUCCCCACAUCACGUGGAAAGCUCACGUGCAGGGGCUCUGCUGUCCAUGAACUCUCCUCACCUAGUCCUCGCCACAACUCCAGGCCCCAACGCAAAAGCAUGGCAGGUCUGCCUGGCCCAGAAGCCCCCUGUCCCCAACAUUGUUCUGCCAGCCCCAGGGAGGGCUUCCUGAUGUGCCACCAGGGUCCUUCGGCCUGGCAGGCUGAAGCCGGGGCCGGCUGUCACUGCCGCUGUCCUGGAUAGCCUCGUGGGCCUCCCCUGUGGUAAGCCAGGGGCUGUCUCGUUGCCCAGUAAGCCCUGGCUGCCCUCCCCUCCACAGGCUGGGCAGGCAACAGAAAAGCAGACUUCAGGAGCAAAAGGCGGAGGCCCCAGACCCCAGCUCUCCCAGAGCAGAAUGGAGCAGAAGGGACGGGCCGGUCCUUUAUCCCCUGGAGCCAGGCUUCCUGCCUCAGAAAUGCUUGGGGCUGCCCUCACACCACGCUGGGCAGCUUCAGGAGACACCGUGUGAUCACCUGGUGCUGGGGAACUCGCAGGCAUCAGCCCCUCCACUCCUCCCCAUUGGGGAAAGGGAGGAGAUGGGGCCCAAGGCAAGGGACCCAGGACAGGGCUUUGCAGGAGCACCCAAGCUUCAUGGGGCGAUUUCAUCAGUCACAUAGGAAUGCCAGCUGCGACGCCCACACACUGGAGACCCAGCAAACGAAGCAGGCCCGGACACUGGCAUGGAAUUCUGACACAUCAGGGUACAACCACCAAAUUGGAAAGGUCAUAAAAUAUUAAAGCUGUUGAUGGAG